GUUUUACAGGGAGCACCAAUUCACAGAAAAUAACAUUUGGGAAUGCACAUAAAUGACAAAAAUAAAGCUUUGAGACCUAGUCUUUGCCUCUGAAUCUGGCCACAGACAGAGUACAAAUGAAUGCAGUUCACCAAAGAAACAAUUAAGACUGAAAGUAUUCACCAAGUUUGCAUUUCUGCCAUUGACCAAGAAAGAGAGCCUGAGAUGAAGCGCCCCAGAAACAAUGAGUGAAGGAAGAAAGUGGAGUGCUGCAAAAUGUUUUCAAGGU
This is a long non-coding RNA of Tympanuchus pallidicinctus (lesser prairie-chicken), 268 nucleotides long. RefSeq lists it as uncharacterized. The transcript is spliced from 3 exons. The record is from RefSeq and is a predicted model, not a curated record. NCBI's taxonomy places the organism in Eukaryota, Metazoa, Chordata, Aves, Galliformes, Phasianidae.